AUCCACUCCCUGGCUUUUUUUUUUUUUUAUUUUUUUUAAUAAGAAACUUCUCUCAGUACCAUUUUAUGGUUAUCUUCCCAAUCUACCAUAGUUUCCUAACAUUGGACUUUUGUAAACUUGCUACUUGUUUACUUUGACCUGCAGGUUUAUCGGGUCCAUUGUCUAGUGUUUGAUGCCUCGACACAAAUAGGAUAGGAGCUGGGUUUUCUAAAGCGUUCUUCCAAAACCAUCUCUGUUUCUUCAUUAGUGAAAAUUUGUCAGAAGGAAUGUUGUGACUGGCCUUGUAGGAAGCAGAUACCUGGAGGACCAUUCUCUUAUUUUCUCAGUUGUCUGUUCAUUGUGGCAUUGGUUGGCAGUGAAUCUACUCAACCUUCAUGUCAUUAGCAACCAGCCACCCAGGUAACAUCAUGCCCAGCAGAAUUAAAUUACUACAAGGACUGUCAUGCAGUAGUUUUUUGUCUUUCAAAGAGUGUGAGAGGACUGGUAAUACACACCAUCUACUUGGAAGGUAUCCUCUCUUUGAAUUAUCACAAGUAAGGAGACACUAGGUAGGGAUCUGCUAUGGGUUUAUCUGAACACUUGACCCCCAACCACUGCCUAUCACAAUCAAUUUCUGUAGUCCACAGCUGAUCUUCUGUACUUAAGACAGGCAUUGACUCCAUUAAGUUGUAAACUUAACCGUAGCUAUGUAUUAGAAUCCCUGAGGAACUUUUUUUUUUUUU
Trichechus manatus latirostris (Florida manatee) is the source of this 722-nucleotide long non-coding RNA. RefSeq lists it as uncharacterized. The record is from RefSeq and is a predicted model, not a curated record. Lineage: Eukaryota; Metazoa; Chordata; Mammalia; Sirenia; Trichechidae. The transcript is spliced from 2 exons.